UUUGAAGAGAAACAGAAAGCCACUCUUAACCCCUGAGAGCCUGGGCUUACACCGAGAGAACACGCUGUGCUCUCCUGCCCACUGGGCAGAUGAGGAGUCUGAAUCCCCAAGUAGGUCAGUGAUGAGCUGAAAGCCCCACAGACCUCGGGGUGAGAGCCGAGACUCUCCCGAAAAUCCAGGAGUCUGAAUUCCCAUCGCCCGUGGGAGAUAGACAGGGAGUGAAUAUUUAAUAAGCGCCUAUCAUGUGCCAGGCCCUGAAAUGAUGUGCUAAGCAACGAAAUCAAUUGGCAAGCAAUCACUGAAAAAGAAAAAUGAGAGGGGCCCUUAGGAACUUAGAGUCCACGUGAACCUUAGCAUCAUUUAUCCACUCGGUGUGAAAUCCACGCAGCAAUGAGUUGUCCGAGGUCCACACAGGGAAGAUGGCGUUGGAAGGACUUCCACACCCAUUACCUGAAGACCAGUGUUUUCUUUCUACGACACAGAGGACAGGGACAACCAGAGCAACUCUGGGGAGGUCUGGUGACUGAACUGUGAGCUGGGGCGUGACAUGAGGAUGUGGUUUGCUCUACCACAAUCCAAUCAGCCCUCAUGGUUGGUCAAUAAGUUACUCUUAGUUUCUCCUCUAACACAAGGAAGUCAGACUAAGAGGCCACGUCACCUCCUUCUCUGGGUCCCCCUGCUCACCACCUCUGCCUCAGAGCAUUUGCUCAUCCAGGUUGACCAGAGCUGCCAUUUUCACCCCCAUGUCUGUUUGGCAUCCCCCAGCCUCAGCCGGUUUUAGCUGAAUGGCAGAACAAAAAUGAUUUGGCAAAUGGGUAUGCAGAGCCAAUCAGUGAGGGACCAAAGUUUGUGCUGACUACUAGCAAAAGGAGGAGCUCCUUAAAGCAGGGAAACUUGAUGUUACUUACUAGUGGCUCUUAGGGUUUCUGGCAGAGCCACAGAAAAUAUUGAUUCCUGUGGAUUUCACUUAUCCACUCAGGACGCAACCUUUAUUAGCACAGAUGAUUCAGAGCUACCCAUGGCAACACUGCCAUUUAAUAAAAACGAAACCAAAAACCUGAUGUCCAGAAAUGCAGCACUCAAAUUUGCUUAUAAGGCAUUCUCAUUUCAGCAGCCCCAGUAGCACUCUGUGACAAUGUGUGGGCCAGACGGUCCAUGAAGUAGUUAGUACCUGCCUCGAACAUGUGUUCAGACCAGUGUCACCUCCCCUGUCAAGCCUUAAAACUUAUCCAAAGCUUUGAAUAUAGAAAUGUUUUCAGUGCCAUGUUUUUGCAUAGAAAAUGCCAAAUGUAAAUUAACCACUUAUAGGAUUUUUCCAACAAGCCACUUACGAAUGGUCACCAUUAAAAAUUCAUUGCUUUUUAAGGUGGGAGCAUCUCUGCCUGAGAUGAGGAAAUAAUUAGCUCAGAGUACCAUCUGACUAAAUACCAGGACACGUAGAUUUAUAAUGCAUUUAUUUGGAACACCAUAUUAAAACUUGCCAGAACUAUAGCAUCACAAUGUGGAGUAGGGUCUCUCUCCGAUUUCUUAUAAAUAUGAUACAGAUUUUAAAAUGGCUGUUUUUCUAUUCAGACAGGGUUUUGCAAAAUGAGAUAAAAUACCAAGUUGAAAAUAAGUGGGUUUGUUUGCUCAUUCACCCUCCCUUUUUCUGAACCCAUAACAUAAACCAAAGCGUUGUAAGGAAGUGCAACACACAAGACCACCAUGAUGAGAAUGCUUAACAAAAUGCAUAGUGAAAUGUACACAUUAGGCCUCCAAGUGGACAGGUACUCCCUCCAUGGGCAAGGCAUUUGGUGACUCCAUCAGUGGUCAAGGUUCAGACCGUGCACUGACAUCUGGCCUUGAGCUAACUAUCAUUUUAUUUUACAUUUUCUUCUUACAAGUUUGGUUUUAGGCUACUACAUUAUGUUAACAAGUUCUC
Long non-coding RNA from Callorhinus ursinus (northern fur seal), 1921 nucleotides. RefSeq lists it as uncharacterized. The record is from RefSeq and is a predicted model, not a curated record. NCBI's taxonomy places the organism in Eukaryota, Metazoa, Chordata, Mammalia, Carnivora, Otariidae.